RNAcentral lists this transfer RNA (69 nucleotides) under Rattus norvegicus (Norway rat). It matches the Rfam family "tRNA". Rfam says of the family: Transfer RNA (tRNA) molecules are approximately 80 nucleotides in length. The record is from Rfam by way of RNAcentral. Lineage: Eukaryota; Metazoa; Chordata; Mammalia; Rodentia; Muridae.
GAGGAUUUGGCUCAGUGGUAGUGCGCUUGCCUAGCAAGCACAAGGCCCUGGGUUCGAUCCCCAGCUUCC